UAGCAUCUUUUUAGAUGGAGGUGGGGUGAAGUGUAGAUUUAAAAGAAGAAUGGGGUGGUGUGUCGGGGAUGAGAAUAUUUUACUCCAGAGUCUAGAGGCCUCCUUAAGUUCCUCUUUAAGCCAGAAAAGAUUAUUGCAAUUGCGGAUACCCGAGUCAGGAAGAGAAUUGCAGAAUGAAUGAAACUGACGCACCUCUCUUCUCUUCUGUUCACGACCUCCACCCCCUCGAGACCCACUCGCAGACGAAGUUGAAGCGGCAGAGGGGGGAUCCCAGACCUCACGGAGCCUCCAAAACCAUUGGUGCCGCCGUUCAAGCUCGAGUUCCUUGUAGAGUUAGCCACUUCCAAAGAUAUCGAGCUGGUCGCGUGACACGUUCCUCUGACCAGCGAGGCCCCGUCAUCGGCAUCUCCUUCAUUAACCGACACACCAUCGACUAGCUCAUGGGUCGGUUUCCACUACACUGAGUGCCCUGGGCUUGAGGAGGGACCUUGGCCAAGAAUGGGACUGGGCCCAAGAGAGUCCUCUGGCCCAAGAAAAAACGGAUUUUUGUCCAAUAUGGGUCCAACUGGCCGCAAAAUAUUGUUGUCCAGGUUCAGUAGAGAAACCAUAAGCAUGCCCACAUUUAAUUGGCCCUCACUCCUUCCCAUCUUAAAAAGAGGAGAGUCAACUUUGAUUCCUUGCCUCGAAUCCUCCCCGCCGUUUAAUUCUCUAGAAGUUGACAAAACCUGAUCACAAACAUUAUAAACGUCAACCAAUCAUGGGACGUCUGCUUAUUUUGUUCCUGAAGCAUUUAAUUGACUUCUACCUUCUCUAACACGCCCAACCAGGCCAACGUCAUCCUCUCCUACCAAACUUCUCGAGUGGCAAAUCUGAUCACCGGUGGCGCCCUCAUCCUCCCCUGCGUCUUCAACUGAGUUAAUGGAGUUCAAAUCCGCUUCCUUAUUGGACCAAUCACUGGAUAUUGAGUCUUCGUCAUCCUCCACAGAAAGACAGCGCAGCCUGGUCCUUGAGCAGAGCAAGUUUCUUCAAACAAACGGACCCUAAAGUUGAACCCCUUCCAAGACACAACUUUGGACAAGGAAAUCUGGUCCUCAGCCAUAGUUCUGAUGCGCAACCUUGCCCAGUCCAGUCUGUUGAAAGAAGAGGUCUCCUAUCGAUGGAGAUCAGGGAGCCAAGUUUCUCUACCAGUUGCUUGAAACACUGCCAGUUCCAAAGGUGCAAAGGCAGGCCUUCACACCUUACCCAGGUAAGUCUAUGACUGGGAACAAAGUGAGGUUGCCAAGGGCUAACCUAUUCAAAGAGGCUCUCCAUCCACUCCUUUGCCCCUUCCAAAGAUUCCUCCAAAUGCUCUUGCUCUUCCCCACUAAGAAGAACCCAGUUGUCACCAAUGUAUCUCACCUUGAUAGCUUUGAACCCUUCCAAGUAAAAGCUUUCUUGUAACGAUUCUACAGUCCCCAAGUGCCUCAGCUUCCCUACAAGACUCCUCUGUAGCCACGCAUCAACCUCCCUCUCCUUGUGGAUAGCCUCAACCUUCAAGGAAAAGCCCCUGACUUUGAUCUUCCAAGUCUCAGAGACCUUGAUAGGCGUUGUGGGCUGAGCAGCUUUCAUCGGUGCAAGUCCGGAGAUCAACGCUUGCUUAAAGGAUCUACCAAAGGGGUACUCGUUCUCCACUUGUGUCGUCUUCACACUCUCCCUCUGCAUCUUCUUGAAGCUGGAGCGAGGCCCCUGUGUAAGAUCAAGAUUUGGUCAUGUGGUACAACUCUAUGUUUUGAUGAUAACAAGUAUUUAUUUGUGGAUGAAUAAUUAUGGUACUCUAACGUUUGUCUUGAGUGUUUUGACAAACAUGUUCUGAUUCUGAUACCAGAAAAUAUAUUCAUCAGAAGAUCUGAAGAUCAGAAGAUCUAAAGAUCAGAAGAUCUGAGGAUCAGAAGCUCUGAAGGUCCAGAAGCUCUGAAGGUCCAGAAGCUAAGAAGUGAAAACUCUGAAGUCCAAGAGUAAGCUGGUUCUAAAGACCAAAUACUUUCUACUCUGAGGUCCAGAAGCAGAAGUUACGAAGGUCAGAGGAUCCAAGCUUCCCUCUGACUCUGAUCACCAAGCUUCACAAGUUCCAACAUGAAGCGUCGUCAGAUCAGAAGUCAAUGGUUAAAGGCAAAUGUCUCUAUCAAGUAGUACAAGAGCAGUGUACUAUUCUGACAAGCCUACCUACCAAGGUUCAGCCACAGCAGGUUCUGGAAGUUCCAGAAAUGCCCUCCAACGGUCACAUUCUCUCAACAGAAAUAUCCUUUGCACCUUGGACUAUUUAAGGCUGAAGAAAAGAAGAAAGACAAGUGAGAGAAACCAAGAGUUGCAAUACAAGAAAGAUUCAAGCCUUCACUUUCUUCAUCUGUUCUUAUUUAGUUUACACUUAGCUUAUUCAGAAGCAAACCUUUGUAAACACCAACCUCAAACAGUUGUUUGUUUUUCCUUAAGGGACCGGGUAGGUCAGUAUCCUUAAGAAGACUAGGAUCUGUGUAUCUUAGUGGUGAUUCCUUAAGGGACCAGUUAGGUCAGUAUCCUUGAGAAGACUAAGAGAGUGAAUCUUAGUGUUUACUAGUUCAUUGUAUUGUUAGUCACUGAGCAGGUUGCUAGUGCAGUUGUAUCAAACUCUGAAUAGUGGAUUGCCUUCAUUCUAAGAAGGAAAAAAUCA
Lotus japonicus is the source of this 2686-nucleotide long non-coding RNA. RefSeq lists it as uncharacterized. The transcript is spliced from 2 exons. Lineage: Eukaryota; Viridiplantae; Streptophyta; Magnoliopsida; Fabales; Fabaceae. The record is from RefSeq and is a predicted model, not a curated record.